This 600-nucleotide ribosomal RNA is filed under the name uncultured Tomentella. Its description in RNAcentral is "eukaryotic LSU rRNA". The stretch from base 178 to 332 matches the Rfam family "5.8S ribosomal RNA". The record is from RNAcentral. Lineage: Eukaryota; Fungi; Basidiomycota; Agaricomycetes; Thelephorales; Thelephoraceae.
CUGGUCCUCAAACGGGGGCAUGUGCACGGCUCUGUUUACACAUCCACUCACACCUGUGCACCCUCUGUAGUUCUAUGGCGUGGGGGACACUGUCCUCCUGCUGUGGUUCUACAUCUUUACACACACACUGUUAUAAAGUCUCAUGGAAUGUAUAUAGCGUUUAACGCAAUACAAUACAACUUUCAGCAACGGAUCUCUUGGCUCUCGCAUCGAUGAAGAACGCAGCGAAAUGCGAUAAGUAGUGUGAAUUGCAGAAUUCAGUGAAUCAUCGAAUCUUUGAACGCACCUUGCGCCCUUUGGCUAUUCCGAAGGGCAUGCCUGUUUGAGUAUCAUGAACACCUCAACCCUCAUGGUUUGCCAUGAUGGGCUUGGACUUUGGGGGUCUUGCUGGAUUGUGGUCCAGCUCCCCUUAAAUGGAUCAGCUUGCCAGUGUUUGGUGGCAUCACAGGUGUGAUAACUAUCUACGCUUGUGGUUUUACACCAGAUAACCUUCAGUGAUGGAGGUUCGCUGGAGCUCAUAAAGGUCCCUCCUCUGUGAGGACAGUUCUUCGAAUGUUUGAUCUCAAAUCAGGUAGGACUACCCGCUGAACUUAAGCAUAU